RNAcentral lists this ribosomal RNA (566 nucleotides) under uncultured Glomeromycotina. RNAcentral describes it as "SSU rRNA". It matches the Rfam family "Eukaryotic small subunit ribosomal RNA", at positions 548 to 1114 of the family's 1831-position model. The record is from RNAcentral. Lineage: Eukaryota; Fungi; Glomeromycota.
UUGGAGGGCAAGUCUGGUGCCCGCAGCCGCGGUAAUUCCAGCUCCAAUAGCGUAUAUUAAAGUUGUUGCAGUUAAAAAGCUCGUAGUUGAAUUUCGGGAUCAAUGUUUCGGUCAUGCCGUUGGUAUGUACUGAUAUUAUUGAUUUCUCACCUUCUAAAGAACCGUAAUGCCAUUAAUUUGGUGUCACGGGGAAUUAGGACUGUUACCUUGAAAAAAUUAGAGUGUUUAAAGCAGGCUCACGCUUGAAUACAUUAGCAUGGAAUAAUGAAAUAGGACAUCCGAUUCUAUUUUGUUGGUUUCUAGGAUCGAUGUAAUGAUUAAUAGGGAUAGUUGGGGGCAUUAGUAUUCAAUUGUCAGAGGUGAAAUUCUUGGAUUUAUUGAAGACUAACUACUGCGAAAGCAUUUGCCAAGGAUGUUUUCAUUAAUCAAGAACGAAAGUUAGGGGAUCGAAGACGAUCAGGUACCGUCGUAGUCUUAACCAUAAACUAUGCCGACUAGGGAUCGGAUGAUGUUAAUUUUUUAAUGACUCAUUCGGCGCCUUACGGGAAACCAAAGUGUUUGGGUUC